RNAcentral lists this long non-coding RNA (4860 nucleotides) under Homo sapiens (human). Its description in RNAcentral is "PREDICTED lncRNA (TCONS_00030098)". The record is from RNAcentral. Lineage: Eukaryota; Metazoa; Chordata; Mammalia; Primates; Hominidae.
CUAUGAUACUUAAAUGUUUUAGCUGUGAGCAAAAUAAUAUGCAUUCUCAAAGAGAGUAUCUUCAGACUCCAGUGGCCGAGAAUCUAGAGUUAGCAAUGGAAAAAUUAGUCUCGGGCUUCUGUUUCUGCCCACAGUUUUCAAAUUAAGAACAAUGUGUUUGCACUUAAUGAAACAACCUCUACUGCUCUUCAAGAGGACUCAGGAUACCGAUUCUCGAGGCCCCUGGCGGUCCCCUUGGCAUAAAACACUUCAAUCACACGUAGCUUUCUGGAGCAACAGACCAUGGGCUGAGGAUUGAGUUUCCGGGAGCCACAGCAAGGCUCUCCAAUGCCAUCUUUCUGUCUCACUGCUGAAAGUCAAGAAUCACAGUGCUGAUCUUCAGAAACUGUGGGUUCAGAAACUCACCUGGUCACUAGAAUUACUCUCCCCACUUUACCUCUGCUACCCCGGAGAUCCCCGAGACCAGUCCCUUUUGGGGAGCCCUUGAUGGCAUCUUCACUAGUAGCCCUUUGGCUCACAUGGGAAUACCCCCAGGGACUCCUCGCAAGAGGGCUAUGAGGGAGGCUUCAUUAUUCUAGUGUUGAAGCCCAGAGUCUCAACCUAAUCAGCGCUUUCCUUCAAGUUCGAGCCUCCAGGAGGAGCCAAGGAGUUUCAACAGCGUUUCAAAGUUCGCAGUUUGUAUUCUGCUGCACCAGAGACAUCAUUGAAUCUUACAGCUGAUGCUACCUUCUUUCCCACACCUGGAUUCACCCAAAGUCCUGGAGAACAGCACAUGGUGGAGAGAAACCCCUAGCCAAUUUUCCCUUCUGAAAGAUAAGAGCAAGACACCUGGGUGAACUGGUGGCUGAGGGACCUCCGCUCCUGGAUACAUGUCCGUAAUCAUUCAUGGAGUGAGAAAAUCGGCCUGUAUGUUACCACUAAAGAAGCUAGUCUGUAAGAAUGUAUUGAUUUAAGUAUAUAUAAAAAUACAUAGAGUAAAUUAUAACUCCCCUAGGCACAAUUUCAUUAUAUACCUUAAAAAAUACAUAGAUGCCACUCACUUCACUGCUAACAAAAAUGACAAUAUCAUUUAUCAUUCCAACCAUGGUACUUUUUUUUUUUUUUUUUUGAGUCAGAGUCUUGCUCUGUUGCCCAGGCUGGAGUGCAGUGGUGCAAUCUUGGCUAACUGCAAUCUCCGCCUCCCGGGUUCAAGCGAUUCUCCUGCCUCAGCCUCCCGAGUAGCUGGGACUACAGGCGUGUGCCACCACGCCCAGAUAAUAAUUUUUUGAAUUUUUAGUAGAGAUGAGGUUUCGCCGUGUUAGCCAGGAUGGUCUCAAUCUCCUGACCUCGUGAUCCGCCUGCCUCGGCCUCCCAAAGUGCUGGGAUUACAGGCAUGAGCCACCACACCCGGCCCCAUGGUAUUUUGACUACAAAAUGAGACACAAUACAUGAAAAAGUGGUCUACUGUGGAUCACUACUCUCAAUGAAAAGAAACAAACUAUUGAUACAUUUGACAAACCAAGACUUUCUCCCCAAAACUGGGCUGUGUGGUCCCCUAACUCUACCUGAUAGGGAAAAGAAAAGUGAGUUGGGAAUGAGGAAAGUAUUUUUUUGGAGGGAGGUUUGUUUUAGGUUGGUUUUUGUUGUUGUUAUGAUUUGACUGUGAUUCCUCCAUAGAGUAAAACACAGUCAGUUCUUGUUGUUUGUGGUUAUUAUGUUCUUUAAAGAACAUAAUUGCUGUGAGCACUGAAUUAGCAAAUACUGAACUGUUGCUCCCACGGGAAAUACAGAGGACGUUCCUUCGAGCCUGUGGUCACACAUUGUCAUAAAACAAUCGAUACACGACCUUGUUUUAUGUGUGUUUCUGUUAAAGGACACCUUGUUUAACAUACAGCAUUGAUUUAUUAACAUUGAAUUCAUGACCAACAGUACUAUAACUAACGCUUGAACAAGGCUUAUCAACACAUCUCUUUUCUUCAUACGGUACAUCAAAGACUUCUUGCACUUAGGAAUACUAGAUGGCACUAUAUCACUGUAGUGAAAUCAGCAGCAAAAAGCACAACAUGAGAAAAAUGUGGCACUAAAUAGAACACACACCAAAAGGACAGUUGUGUACAAUAUGAGAUAUAAAACAGGAGCAAGGCAGAAUGUCGCCUUGUUGAACCUCAUCUGGGAACAUGAACUUUGGGUGACAAUUUUUUCGCUGCUCUCCACAUGUCUGUGAAGGGACAUGAAAUAGCUGUGGCUAUUGAUUUGAGAGUUACAGGUAAUUUUAGGGAGUAGGCAGGUCUGUAAAUAUGAAAUCCAUGAGUAAUGAUGACUGACUGUAGAUUCUUGUCCCUAACUCUUAGGUGUACCUUUAUUUAAAGUUAGGCUCACCAAGUAGAUUUCAAGAGGUCUCUAAGAGUGGAUCUAAAAUGGAGAACAAAUGACCUCAGGAGAUGUAGAUAAAAUAUGUCUCUUCAAACUGGUUUUGCACCAGUAAUGAGACAGUGACGCAAGUCCUCUGUAUCCUCGCUGUGCUUGUUUUUGUCCCUAUUUUCAUCAUUCUGCUAGACGUGCAGUAAUACUUUUCUGUGGUUUUAAUUUGCAUUUCUCUAAUAGUACAGUUUGGCAGUUUUUUAAACAGUUAAAUAUUCAACUGCAUUUAUAUAUGACCCAGCAAUUGUACUCUUUGGCAUUUAUUCCAGGGAAAUGAGAACAAACUUGAACAUUGUGGCACAUCUAUUUAUAAUAACCAAGAACUGGAAAUAAUCAGAUAUCUCUCCAUGGAAAAAUGGUUAUUAAACAAAACAUAGUACAACUUACUAUGGAUCACUACUCCCAAUAAAAAGGAACAAACUGUUGAUGCAUUCAGCAACCUUAAUGAAUCACCAAAGAACUAUCCUAAGUGAAAAUAAAGCCAGUUUCCCAAGAUUAUAUAUGGUAGGAUUCCCUUUAUAUAACAUCCUUGAAAUGAGAAAAUGAUAGAAAUGGAGAAUAGACUAGUGGUUGCCAGGGGGUUAAGGUGGGAAUCCAUGCAGGAAGGAAGUGGCUAUAACGAUAAAAGAGAAACAUGAGGAAUCCUUGCUGUGAUGAAAAUGCUCUGAAUCUUGACUGUAUCUAUGUCAGUAUCUUGGUUAUAAUAUUGUCUUAUGCUUUUGCAAGAUGUUACCAUUGGGGAAUACUAGGCAUAAGCACAUGAGAUCCCUCUCUCGUAGUUCUUACAACUCCGUGUGAAUCUAUGAUUACCUCAGUAUAAAAAGCUUAUUUAUAAAUAAAUGAAGGAAAAAUAAAGACUUUCUCAAACCAGCCAAACUACACACCACACACACACACACACACACACACACACACACACACACACACAGAGUUUUAUUCUUUCCAAGUUUGAACUGAUUCUUAUUCCUUCUUCAGUCAUUCAACAAGCUGUUACCCUUUAAAGAGGCUAAGGAGAGAUUAAUUAGAUAUUAGUUCGUAAGAUACAUUUUUCAAAUUUCUUAAAAUAUAUGUACAUGUACAAUUUAGUGAAAGCAAAAAAAACUUUGAUAGUAAUAAUAUUGAAGAUCCAAAUCUGUAUUAAGUCAAAUAUUUAGUGAUAUAAUUUUCAUUUCAAAAUGGUUUUUACAUAAAGUAAAACUGUGUACAAUAAAGUAAAUAAUUUUAAUGCAAUUUAUUCUUUUUUUGGAUGAGGAAACUGAGGCUCCCUUCUUAUGUGGAAAAAUGGUUGGCAUUGCCAUUAGUGCAGAGUUGAUUGGGGCUAAAUUGAUGCACUCUUUGGACCAUAAAGUCAAGAGCAGAUAUGUAAAACCACGAUGUGUCAUUAUGGAUGAUCCAGUUUCUUUUUAAAUCAGAAUCUCUGGGGCAUGAACAAAGUCUUUAUAUAAGGUACUAUUCUGUCUUAUGGGCUCUCUCUAUAUGAUUUUUCUAUAUAUGCAGAUAUAUAAGGAAAGGGCUGACAAUAAUCAUGUAGGAUACAUAAAAUAUUAUUUUCUUUCUGAAAGGAAAGGGAAUGGGCCUCCUCUGGUUAAAAUUUAUAUUAGAUUUCGUAGACUGCUAGGGCUGCCAUCACAAAGUACCACAGACAGGGACACUUAAAGAAAAGAAAUAUAUUGUCUCACGGUUCUGGAGGCUACAAGUCAAAGAUCAAGGAGUCAGUGGGAUUGGUUGCUUCUGAGGCUGUGAGGGGCAAUCUGUUUCAUGCCUCUCUCCUAACUCUGGUUAUUUGCCGGCCAUUUUUGGUGUCCCUUGGCUUAUAGAAUCAUUGCUCCAAUCCCUGACUUACCUUCACGUGUUGUUCUUCCUGUGUGAGUCUGUCUUUGUGUUCAAAUUGCUUCCUUUAAUAAGGACACCAGUCAUACUGGAUUAGGGUCCCACCCUCAUCCGUGAAGUAUGACCUCAUACUAACUAAUUACAUCUUCAAUGACCCUAUUUCCAAAUAUGACCACAGACUGAGGCACUGCAGGUUAAGGCUUCAACAUAAGAAUUUUGGGGGACACAAUUCAACUCAUAACAGAUUUUCUCUCUCAUUCUUACCCCAUGGAUAGGAUAUAACAGACAAAGCCCUCUUUAGGUUAUCAAAUAAAUUGUGCCCAAGAUGCAAUGGGCGAAAAGUGUCCUAAGCAACAUAAAGAUAAGCAGCCAUUGUAAUAGAUAUAUUUUUGGCCUUAUUUUAUCUAAAUCAAAAGAUUAAAAGUAAAACUCUGAAUGCACUAUAUUUGCAAAAUGUUUACAAUUAGCCCCAUAAUUUUCUUUUGCAUUAAUAUUAGAAGAAAACUAAACAUUUUCUAAAACUUAUUACUUUCUGAAUGUUUUGAACGUGCUGAUGUAAAUUUUUCAACUCUAAGUGUAGGUGACCAAAAUUAUUAGAAUGUUUAAUCUAAAAUAAAUUUUAAACAAACA